AAUUCUUGAUUGUCCAUAGUUCUGCAAUCAGAAAUAUCAGUAACAAGUUAAGCACUUGCAAAAUUUUACUUGGGGAAUUGAUUUUUAUUCACAUAAUCCUUACCUAGUUUGUGUGCAUGAUUUAAUUGCUUUAAGAAAUCUGUUCCGUGGAUCUAGACGUGUUAAACCUAGCCAGUUUUGACACAAGCUCGAAUUGGAAGUAUGAAAAACUGCAUCUUUGCCUUUUCACCUUUCGCAAUUCCGAGGUAUCAAGUCACUGGUCAAUUUCGUGAUGACUAUUCUGAGGUCUUUUUUGGUUGGGGGUAAUUCAAUUCAAGAUGUUUAAGUUCUCAAGAAGUGCUAAAAUAUAGCUUGUUUGGUUAGCAAUAAUCCUUGACUUCUUAGGAAGUUUAGGCUAUCAAUUCUUUAACUUAGGUAACUUGCUUACCCUAAUCAAGUUAAGUUAUUUAUUGGAAAGUGAACUUAUCAGAAAAUAGGCUAUUAGAACCAAGUAAGGCCUUAGUGUGGUGCUACGUUGAUUGCUAUACUCUAAUUUCUGGUUCUUAUGUUUUCGUUUUCAUAUAAAGCUACUUUUAAUACCUGAUACAGUUUUUGGCAUUACCUCCAUCUGUCUCAAAUGGUGCAAAUUUGGGAUUUUGUGCAGUUUCUACUUCUGAGGAAUUCUCAAGGUGCUAUUCUCAUAACAAAUGCAUCUUUUUGUACCUUUGCCAUGAAAACUUUUUAGGUGGUCUGUCAUUUUAGGGAGGUUGAAUAUUUCUUUCGCAUUAAUGGGAAGUUAAUUUAUUUGUACAACGCAAAUUGAUUGGUCUGUUUCCUAAUAGUAUAAUCUAUAAUAAAUUACGGUAAUUAU
RNAcentral lists this unclassified non-coding RNA (850 nucleotides) under Hevea brasiliensis (rubber tree). The record is from RNAcentral. Lineage: Eukaryota; Viridiplantae; Streptophyta; Magnoliopsida; Malpighiales; Euphorbiaceae.